This 214-nucleotide long non-coding RNA is filed under the name Nicotiana benthamiana. Its description in RNAcentral is "long non-coding RNA (NBEN_LNC041975)". Lineage: Eukaryota; Viridiplantae; Streptophyta; Magnoliopsida; Solanales; Solanaceae. The record is from RNAcentral.
AUGAGUCAUGUUUUAGCAUAUAAAUAGAGUGAGAUAGGAGUAACCAAACAUAGCAAGCAAAGAGGAAAUAUUGACCGAUGAAACCCCAGCACAUAGAGCUGAUGUAAGUUAGGCACAGAAACUCAGUACGAACAGAUUCGAGGCGAGAUAGUCACAGAAACUCAAACAAGCAACGAUCUAUCAUGCUAAUACACAGAAUCAAACGAAGAAAUAG